This 378-nucleotide ribosomal RNA is filed under the name uncultured bacterium. RNAcentral's name for it is "partial 16S ribosomal RNA". It matches the Rfam family "Bacterial small subunit ribosomal RNA", at positions 338 to 733 of the family's 1533-position model. The record is from RNAcentral.
CCUACGGGAGGCAGCAGUGGGGAAUAUUGCUCAAUGGGGGAAACCCUGAAGCAGCGACGCCGCGUGAGGGAUGAAGGUUUUCGGUAUGUAAACUCCUUUUAGUAGGGAAGAAAAUGACGGUAUCUGACGAAUAAGCCCCGGCUAACUACGUGCCAGCAGCCGCGGUAAUACGGAGGGUGCAAGCGUUACUCGGAAUCACUGGGCGUAAAGGGAGCGUAGGCGGGAUUGCAAGUCUGGUGUGAAAGUCUAUGUCUUAACCAUAGGACUGCAGUUGAAACUGCUCGUCUAGAGUGUGGGAGAGGUAGGCGGAAUUCGUGGUGUAGCGGUGAAAUGCGUAGAUAUCAAGAGGAACACCGAUUGCGAAGGCGACCUGCUGGA